Molecule: long non-coding RNA, 1215 nt
Organism: Gasterosteus aculeatus aculeatus (three-spined stickleback)
Lineage: Eukaryota; Metazoa; Chordata; Actinopteri; Perciformes; Gasterosteidae
Source: Ensembl
UGAACAUCGAGAGGAGCCUUGGAUUGUGAGUCUGCGUCACUGUGUCUAUGUUAUACUAUUAUUUCCAUAUUGUUGUGGACUAUGAGUGAAGCAGCACAGCACGCACAGUCAAUAAGCUGGACGAGGCCUCUUGGCUGCCCGCCGAGAGGAGCCAGCAGUCAGUAUGCAGUCACGCCCGGGCGCACGCGCACUUAUUCAGGACCUAAUGAGGCCUUGGGAGAUGGGUCGGCGAAGCGUGGGGCGUUAUUAAAACAUUCCAAAGAUGCCGUGGUUGUUUCUACUCUUCACAAAAGACACUCCUCUCUUGUAAAGCGCACGCAGCAUCACUGCGAAUGUCAAGGCAUGUUAAACCGGUGUAGAGCGUCUUUUCAAAGCAGUGCUAUUGCUGCACUUCACAUGCAAGUGUUUAAAACAUUUGACAAAUACUAAACAGGAAGGACAGCGUGAUUGGGAUAUAGAAAAACGCUAGCGGAAGCACACGCAGACACGCAGAAAGGAAGAGCCCGAGUGUCAGAACUAUUCCGCAUGGCGAGAGAGGCCCUGACUCCUCUUCAAAGCCACCCGGCUGACACUGGCUAAUGAUGAACACUCAGAUGAAGAGCAAGGAGACAGCGAUCCAGACUCCACAGUUAAAAAAAAAAAAGGCCUCUUCCCGCCUUUCACACCAGAGAUAAAAGACGGGAACUCGUGCCCGGCUGCACCUAAUGUGCGUUUAAGCGCUCAUACAUACAUACGUAAAUGCGUACACAGGCAGACACACUUAUCAUGCAAAUGUAGAAUAAUUACAGUCUCGUCUGAGGGGAGAAAGCUGGGUUGGCUUUUGAAGAUAGCGAUGCUCAAAAGAUUCAUUGAUGUUACGCUGGGUAAUGGAGGAGAGACAUUAACAGGCUCAGAACUGGUCUCUCUCAUUCUCUGGCUCUCUCAAAAUCCAAACCUUCUGUGGACUAUGAAGUGUAUUUUAACCUGCCGAUAGGAGAGUGAAAAAUGUUUUCUUUUGGUGUUUUUAGAGUGGAGUAAUGAUGAAUGAAAUCACUCUGUGAUGUCCAAAAAUGUGAAUAUUAGGUCAAAUUUUUAUUUUGAAAAAAAGAAAAGAAAAAUAUAGUCAAAAUAUGUUGUGGUGAAAAAUGUCAUGGACAAAAAAAACAAUUGGGUCAAAUUUAUAUUUUGAAAAAAAAGAAAAAAGAAAUAGUCAAAAUAUGUUGUGGUGUAAAAUGU